Molecule: non-coding RNA, 219 nt
Organism: Phascolarctos cinereus (koala)
Lineage: Eukaryota; Metazoa; Chordata; Mammalia; Diprotodontia; Phascolarctidae
Source: RefSeq, a predicted model, not a curated record
GCCUCCCUACAUGGAUUUCUGUCUUCCCUCCUCCCAAACACUGGCCCAGCUGCCUCUGGGUAAAGCAGGAUACAGGAACAGAAGAAAAGAUCCCCACAUAGGGCCCCGAGCCCAGCCUGGCAUCCGGAAGUGAUGGGACCAAUUGUCAAGAUCUCAGUUUUUGUCAAUGUUAAAGCUUCUAGCCAGCAUUUACACUCUUCUCUUUCACCUUCAUCAAGA